GUCCUAGCCGUAAACGGUGCGCGCUUGCUGUGAGCGGAAUCGACCCCGUUCGUGGCGUAGCUAACGCGAUAAGCGCGCCGCCUGGGGAGUACGGUCGCAAGAUUAAAACUCAAAGAAAUUGACGGGGGCCUGCACAAGCGGUGGAGUAUGUGGCUUAAUUCGAUGCAACGCGAAGAACCUUACCUGGCCUUGACAUGCACGUGGUAGAAGCCUGAAAGGGUAACGACCCCGCAAGGGGAGCGUGCACAGGUGCUGCAUGGCUGUCGU
This 267-nucleotide ribosomal RNA is filed under the name uncultured bacterium. RNAcentral's name for it is "partial 16S ribosomal RNA". It matches the Rfam family "Bacterial small subunit ribosomal RNA", at positions 793 to 1055 of the family's 1533-position model. The record is from RNAcentral.